This 666-nucleotide ribosomal RNA is filed under the name Cernosvitovia rebelii. RNAcentral describes it as "partial 16S ribosomal RNA". Lineage: Eukaryota; Metazoa; Annelida; Clitellata; Crassiclitellata; Lumbricidae. The record is from RNAcentral.
ACAUACCAAUCUCUUACAGAAUAAUUCUAAAUAAAACACUUAUAACAUAACAUGCUUCUAAACCAUCAUUAAUUAAGUACUAUAAAGGAAACCUCAAUAAAUUAAAGUAACAGUUACAUCAUAUACCUCGUGCACUAUGGUUUUACAAGAAAAAUAUUAACAAUACCAUCCCGAAUUCUAUGCGAGCUGCUGCAUUAUAGCUAAAGAGCUCACUACCAAUUGUAGCAAAAAUUCUAGAAAAUAAUGCUGCAGAGGCUACAUACCAACCGCGCUAGAAAAUUGCUGGUUUUCAGAAAAAUUUAUUAAUAAUCCAUGCAGUAACACUGCAAUGUUAAAUUACAGAGGAUAAGCCCUGUAAUUCAUAGCAAAUAUAAACUCAUAUCUAAAAAACAGCUAAGCUCAAAAUCAGCUAACGACACUACCUCACCGUACAACAAAAGAUAAGAUAUAAAUAUAUUUUAAAAAUGCCACACAAACCUGAAAUCUAAGUAAACCUAUUAAACUUAUUAUUUUAUGUAAAAAUAAGUAUUAGAAAUUUAAUUUAAAUAUAUUAAAUCUUAAAACAAAACAUACACAAAAAUUCUUAUAAAGGAACUCGGCAACUCCUUAUUUCGACUGUUUAACAAAAACAUUGCUUCUUGACAUAAAAAUAAGAAGUAACUCCUG